AGCCUGCCCAGUGAUAAAUUCAACGGCCGCGGUAACCUAACCGUGCGAAGGUAGCAUAAUCACUUGUUCCCUAAAUAGGGACUUGAAUCAACGGCACCACGAGGGUUACACUGUCUCCUUUCCCUAAUCAGUGAAACUGAUCUUCCCGUGAAGAAGCGGGAAUAAAACCAUAAGACGAGAAGACCCCAUGGAGCUUCAAACUAAACGGCACCUCAACUUCCCACCCCCCUGCAUAAUAGAGCAAUGCCUAAAAGUUUUGGGUUGGGGCGACCGCGGAGUAUAAAAUAACCUCCACAACGAAAAGAACUAAACCUUUAUCCAAGAGAUACCUCUCAAAGAAUUAGAACCCUAACGCACAGUGACCCGAUACGAUCAAUGAACCAAGUUACCCUGGGGAUAACAGCGCAAUCUACUCCAAGAGCCCCUAUCGACGAGUAGGCUUACGACCUCGAUGUUGGAUCAGGGUAACCUGGCGGUGCAGCCGCUGCACAUGGUUCGUUUGUUCAACGAUUA
This 513-nucleotide ribosomal RNA is filed under the name Theloderma licin. Its description in RNAcentral is "partial large subunit ribosomal RNA". It matches the Rfam family "Bacterial large subunit ribosomal RNA", at positions 1856 to 2590 of the family's 2925-position model. The record is from RNAcentral. Lineage: Eukaryota; Metazoa; Chordata; Amphibia; Anura; Rhacophoridae.